This 117-nucleotide ribosomal RNA is filed under the name Staphylococcus aureus. RNAcentral's name for it is "partial 23S ribosomal RNA". It matches the Rfam family "Bacterial large subunit ribosomal RNA", at positions 1 to 117 of the family's 2925-position model. Lineage: Bacteria; Bacillati; Bacillota; Bacilli; Caryophanales; Staphylococcaceae. RNAcentral also lists the same sequence under 3 other names. The record is from RNAcentral.
GAUUAAGUUAUUAAGGGCGCACGGUGGAUGCCUUGGCACUAGAAGCCGAUGAAGGACGUUACUAACGACGAUAUGCUUUGGGGAGCUGUAAGUAAGCUUUGAUCCAGAGAUUUCCGA